Molecule: long non-coding RNA, 603 nt
Organism: Mobula hypostoma (lesser devil ray)
Lineage: Eukaryota; Metazoa; Chordata; Chondrichthyes; Myliobatiformes; Myliobatidae
Exons: 3
Source: RefSeq, a predicted model, not a curated record
CUGGAUAUUACUGCCAUCUGAUUCACUUGUGUGGCCAAAUAUUCCAACCGGCCGGAAUACUGAUAUGGAGCGGGCAGUGAUUGACCUGCACUUUCAUCCAGAUGAGAAGCAAAGCCACACUUGGGAUUUUGGAGUUUGGAGUUCAAACCCAGUAUCCUCCGUGAAGACUCUCCGUACAUCCCCCUCUCCCAUGGAAUGCGAAGGUUUUCUCCAAGUCCUGCAGAUUCCUCCCACGGCUAAAACCAUUCCAGGUGUACCUUUACCAUCAAGAAUGCAGUAGUGCAAGAAGUUGGCCUGCUACCAACGUCUCAAGGACGAGUAAAGAUGGGUAAUAUAUGCUGGUUUUGCCCAAAUCCUGAAAAUAAAUACCACAGAGGAAGAGAUGCCUAGACAGUGGAUGAUACCAUAUUUGAUGCACUAACACCAUCAUUAACAGUAUUGCCAAAUCAGGCUUCCUGCAAAAUCAAGGGUGGAACUGGAUUAUGGUGGCUUACAUCAGGAAAUAAGUAUCAGAAUGGAAUGUUUUGCAGUGGGAUUUCAGUUAACACCUAUACAGCAGAGAAGGGAUUUAGUCCUUAAAAACAAACUCUUCUUGGUAGCCAU